CAUAGCCUGGGCCUCUUUCCUCAUGCAGCCAGAGCAGGGCUCCCCGUAACGCUGCAAUCGAUCUCAGGAAAACUACAAAGAGUUCCCACCAACUUAAAAUCGAGCCCGUCACCUCGACCAAUCAGAGCAUCGUCAGCCGGGGUCACGACCACAACAAAGAACCGUGGAGUGAUUCAACAGCCGAGCUCAGAGGUCACGCACCGUGCUAACGUUGUAUGUGUUCUUUGCUAAGUCUCCGCUCCUUUCUCCUCAAGUCAAGUGUGAUGUUUUGCGGACUCCGGCAGGGAACAACACGGUUAGUUCCGUGACGGGUCGCCUCCCCUCGUCGAAGGCCAACGCUGGAGCGAAAGAUCUCUCUCGUGAAUGGCAUUCAGCACAUCCAAUCCGAAGGCUUCCACUCAAAUCCAACACGUUACAGAGACCCGGAAGCCCCUGAGAUGUGGCCAGACGGCGAGGCGCGUUGGACGCCGCCUGGAGGUCAUCACAGCCCGGGCCGACGGUACUCCCCUGAUGUCCCUCCUCUCCUCCCCCUCUCCUCCCCCUCUCCUCCUCCCGCUCGGGGGAGAGGGAGGUGCGGGCGUCCUCUGUGCUGGGGGGGGGACACGCCGAGCGGACCCCUGAACCCGUAUAGAAAUAAAUAACAAUGCAAAUAAAAGAAAUGACUGAGAGGAGACGGGGAGUCGUCCUUCACCGGGAACACAGCGGAACGUGCCUCCCCCUCAAUGCUCCCAUCCAGGGGGGACUCCUCAGGGGGAGAGAGGGAGGGGAG
Gadus morhua (Atlantic cod) is the source of this 769-nucleotide long non-coding RNA. RefSeq lists it as uncharacterized. NCBI's taxonomy places the organism in Eukaryota, Metazoa, Chordata, Actinopteri, Gadiformes, Gadidae. The transcript is spliced from 3 exons. The record is from RefSeq and is a predicted model, not a curated record.